RNAcentral lists this ribosomal RNA (497 nucleotides) under uncultured bacterium. RNAcentral's name for it is "partial 16S ribosomal RNA". It matches the Rfam family "Bacterial small subunit ribosomal RNA", at positions 28 to 507 of the family's 1533-position model. The record is from RNAcentral.
GAUGAACGCUGGCGGCGUGCCUAAUACAUGCAAGUCAAGCGAACAGACGAGGAGCUUGCUCCUCUGACGUUAGCGGCUGACGGGUGAGUCACACGUGGAUAACCUACCUUUACGACUGGGAUAAUUUCGGGAAACCGGAGCUAAUACCGGAUAAUAUAUUGAACCGCAUGGUUCACUAGUGAAAGACGGUUUUGCUGUCACUUAUAGAUUGAUCCGCGCCGCAUUAGCUAGUUGGUCAGGUAACGGCUUACCAAGGCAACGAUGCGUAGCCGACCUGAGAGGGUGAUCGGCCACACGGGAACUGAGACACGGUCCAGACUCCUACGGGAGGCAGCAGUAGGGAAUCUUCCGCAAUGGGCGAAAGCCUGACGGAGCAACGCCGCGUGAGUGAUGAAGGUCUUCGGAUCGUAAAACUCUGUUAUUAGGGAAGAACAAAUGUGUAAGUAACUAUGCACGUCUUGACGGUACCUAAUCAGAAAGCCACGGCUAACUCCGUG